GCAGUGCCCUACUUAGAAAAGUGCCAGUCACAUAGCUUAUAUGUUACUAGAUCCUUUCCGGGUAGAGUAAGACA
This is a non-coding RNA of Callithrix jacchus (white-tufted-ear marmoset), 74 nucleotides long. The record is from Rfam. Lineage: Eukaryota; Metazoa; Chordata; Mammalia; Primates; Cebidae.